Long non-coding RNA from Centropristis striata (black sea bass), 640 nucleotides. RefSeq lists it as uncharacterized. NCBI's taxonomy places the organism in Eukaryota, Metazoa, Chordata, Actinopteri, Perciformes, Serranidae. The record is from RefSeq and is a predicted model, not a curated record. The transcript has 2 exons.
AAUUAACAACAACAUUCAGAGAGGCAGAGGUGGUACCUUCCAUAGACUGUAUAAAAUAUGGACGUAGUCUCCGUGACGUCACCCAUAGGGUUCUGAAGAGCUGAAAUGAAGCUUUGUGGGCGUUCCCACAGUAGCCAUUUUGGCAAAGUUGACUCCGCCCAACUCCCCCGGAUAAUCCAUAAAUGGACAUAGAACUGCAGCUGAGCCGGCCGAAACACGCCCACUUAGCUUGAAGCUACCAAGCUAGCGGAGGCUAGCGGAGCUAACAAGCUAGACUACAUGCUACACCGGGACGGACAGCAGCCGGCCGGCUCGCUGACUAACACUGCCGUGAUGUUCCCGUCUGUUGGUGUCCCAGCUUACACUGCUUAACUCACGUCAGUGUGAAGCAUUGGUGACAGCUCUGUGUCCAGUGAGCUGCUGGACAUUAGUGUCUGCUGGUGGACUGUGGUGGAAAGACCUUCUCCUCUUCUUUGAGGAAGAGCUGCCCAGAUGUCUUCUUCUUCCACUGUGACGGCAGCAGCAGCAUGGGGGAGGUCAGCAGGUCAAGCUGCUCACCAUCAUGGAGAACUUUUCUAGACUUAAAUAUUGUCCACCUUUUUGUUUUUUAUGCAUUUCAAUAAAUUACAUUUGCAUUUGA